RNAcentral lists this transfer RNA (73 nucleotides) under Mesocricetus auratus (golden hamster). It matches the Rfam family "tRNA". Rfam says of the family: Transfer RNA (tRNA) molecules are approximately 80 nucleotides in length. Lineage: Eukaryota; Metazoa; Chordata; Mammalia; Rodentia; Cricetidae. The record is from Rfam by way of RNAcentral.
GGAGAGAUAGCUCAGCAGUUAGGAGUACUGGCUGCACUUCCAGAGGACCUGGGUUCAAUUCCCAGUCCCCUCA